GCCAGUCGCCCCCACUCUAUGUCUCUAUCUUCUCUCUCUCUCUCUCUCUCUCUCUGCUCGAUCCCCUCCUUUCUCUCGAUCUCCACCUCCGCCACUACUAUCGCCGCCUCUCCUGGCCAUCUCCGGUGGUCUUCAGCGCCGCGCUAGCUCAUAAAUUACUUCCCUCGCUCCGCUCUUCCUUUCAGUCCAACCAAUCUCCUUGAUUGCUUCCUCCUAGCCCGGUCCCUUGUUCUUGGUGACCUAGGGUUUCGUUGGUGGUUCUGGUGUGGAACUCCGGUGAUCCCCCGGUUGAUGUGGGGUGCACAGGACGUCUCCAUUUUUCUCACCGCGGCGCGGUGAUGCUCCUGGGUGGCGUCUCCGUGCGAUGGUGCCCUUGGAGCAGCGUCAGCGUGCCCGGCGCUUGCUCUGGUCGCCGUGGAUUCUCCGACGAACUCCUAGCCCUUUCCUGGGUGUGAUGGUGGUCAGACCACAGCCAUGGUGUGGCUUUGUUUAUACUACGGCUCCAUCCCCUCUUGGGUCAUGUGAUGCUAGAAGAAUGAGCAUACGCAUUACAACAGGAGGCACUGACGGCCCAUGCAGACGGGCGUGGGGAAUGGAGACGGCAAAAUUGUACUCCCUCCAGUGUUGUUUCAUAAACGCUCUUAUAUUAUGGGACGGAGGGUUUCAUAAACGCUCUUAUAUUAUGGGACGGAGGGAGUACGUCUAAAAGAGGGUGGACGAGCAGAAGCUGAAGAAAAAGCUGAAAAUGGGAACACAACUAUGGAAGAAGAGUAGGAGAAGGAAAACAGAGGAACGGAAAGGCUGAUGCAUGCUUGCGAUGGUUAUAUUGCUUUGUGUGUGUUUAUACUAGUUGCUCUAUUUUGGAUGCCGUUUCCAGUGUUGUUUCAUGUUUGCUUUGUUGUUAUUCCCUCUGUUCUGAAUUAUAAGAUGUUUUAAUCUUUUUUCCUGAUUCA
Long non-coding RNA from Triticum aestivum (bread wheat), 953 nucleotides. RefSeq lists it as uncharacterized. Lineage: Eukaryota; Viridiplantae; Streptophyta; Magnoliopsida; Poales; Poaceae. The transcript is spliced from 2 exons. The record is from RefSeq and is a predicted model, not a curated record.